CGGAGACGCGCGGGCUGGCGGGUCCCAGGCAGGCGGACGCGCGCAGCUGCGGGCGUCAGCGCGGCAGAGCAGGAGCGGCCCGAGCGAGCGGCGUGAACUGAGCCGGUGAGCGCAGACACAGGGAGCCGGUGAGGAUACGGCAGUGGCGCGAACGAGCGCGCGCAGGUGGAGUGGAGGCCGAGCAGGACGACGACGUGCAGGCGUGCGUGUGCGGAUGCGAGACCGGCGGCACGUUGUGGAACGGUCUGCGCGAGCUUGAGCGCGGAGUUCGCGAUACGGGAACGCGCAGGCACACGUAUGUGGGAGUGUCGGCGAGGCUGUCGGCGAUAGUGCAGGAGUGAUGAUGGCGGCUGUUAUUCAGGGACGCGAACCCAAUCAUCAGACCGGCGCCGACGCUAGCAAACACGGGGAGGAGGCGGUCGCCAGUUUGGGGGCACCGCCAUCAAUGGAGCACGCCCGACGAAGACCGACGAAUUGAAAGGAAGGAUGCGAGCUCGCUCGCUCAUGAGAUGCACGAGGAGCGGCGAGCCGAAAGGAAAGGCGGCAACGCGGAGGUGGCGACCGGAUGCAAUGAGCUCGGAGGAGCCACGCACGGCGAGUUCCCUUCAUCCGUGCGGAAGUCGAGGCAAAGAGGGUGAGUGUGGCGCGGCGAGGCGAAAGCGAAGGUCCGGACGGAUUUGGACUAGCACGUCCACGGAUACGAGCGAGAGUGCUCUACCGGUGACCGGCUCGACUCGAUUCAGCAAGCGCGUGCGUGUACAAGACAACAGGCCAUCUUCCACCCACGGCAACCAUCCCCGACAAACUUCUUCGUCAUCCUCAGGAUCUCGUCAUCGUCGAGCUCAUCUUAUCGUCGCCAAUCCUAUUCACCGCGGGAAUUUACUUUCCGCGUAUUCUUCUCCACGACUAAGUCUACCCCAAGGUUUGCCCUAAUCCACUAAAUCUUUCUAAUGCCGGCGAUUCCUUUGUCGAGAUAUCGUCGUUAACUUUCUGUUAUCUGUUUUCCCGGACCAGGGACUUGAUUGCUUCGUUUUAGAAAGUUCUAGGGUGUUCUUUGUAAAAUUUCCAAAGCUUUCCGUAAUUCAAAUCGAUGAACUUCUACAUUUCAUAGAUUUUCGUAGGAAGUUCAUAAAAAUGUAAAAUCAGUUUUGUUUGAAACCCUAAGUCAAACACUACAAGCUUUAUGUCAUGAUCUUGAGUUGAGAUCUUUGAUGCGUGGUUUAGGUCAAAUAUUAGGGAAUGAAUGUUUUAUUGUGCUUUAUAUUGUAUGCAUGUGAUAUAGCUGGGAAAUAAUUAUAGGAUAUAUGUUUUAAAUGGAGAUGUGUGACAGUUAGUUAAUCCUGUCACCCGAGUGCUCAUAUCUCUGCCUUCAAGACUUUAUCCUUGUCUUGAUUGUCGUUUCCUUAGGAUUCUCUUCGUAUAAAGAUUCCUACUAAUCCGUGUGUAUCUGCUACUUAGCCAAUACCUCUCUGCAACUAUGCUUCAGUAUUGGCUAUCAGAUCAGCCACUAAGCAUCUGUUCCCUUUGAGUUUAGAAUAUUUCUGCGUAACAGCUGUCAGCCGAUACAUUUCUUGUGAUAUGCUUCUACUAUCGGCUGGUUAGCUGAUACGAUUGUUACCUUUCUAGUAUCGACUACUGCCGAUACAAGUCUGUUGUUCUAUCCUACAUCGACUACACAGAGUCGAUGUAUCGGAGAGACACCCACAAUCUUAGGGUUUUUGCCAUCGGCUGACCCAAGCCGAUUUUGGUUACUUUUCCCAUAUCGGUCAAACACGGCCGAUCGAUCCUUAGUUUUCCCAUCUCCAUAUCCACACACUCCUAUCAGUCGAUUUAUCGACUGAAAGAUCGGCUAUCUAUAUUUAUCAGUCAUAUACCCUUAACCACACUCCAAUCGGCUAUACGUCACUCAAUUGUUGUGUUGACGUAAUCGAGUCGAUAUAACCACACUUAGUUACCUAGAAUAACAUUUAAGAACAUCUUAGUUAAGACAACUGUUUUAGGAAUCAUCCUUCUACCAAAAUAAUCGAUGCUUUCAUCGAUCACCUAGGAAAUCGAUACACCUUUCCAUCAACUAAACCCUGCUGUUUCCAAUCGGCUUUGCUGUAAUCUUCAACGAGUAGCCGAUUCUAGUUGGUUGUCCCCCUAAAGCUCUGUCUAGGUUUAGUUCAGAUCUUUUUGGUUGUUAUGUGAAUAAUGUGUUAAAUGAGUGUUAGAUUGCAACUUUAUUGUGAAGUAAGAUAGUUUUGUGUGCACAUUUGAAUGUGAUGUCGCAUUGCAUGUAGAUACGACUACUUCGGCAACGGUAUCUACGAGAUCUCCCCGGAGUCCGCAGAGAAUGUUUCUGAAGACCAAGUGGAUGUCAUCAAGGAGAUAUUGGAAGCUCCGAACCAAGUUCAGAAGAUAACAACGCUAACAUCUCUGACUUCAGUCCCACCAGUAAAGGCAAGCCCCGGACAUAUCCCAUUACUUUAUCGACACUGCAAUCUAUGCUUAUUUAUAUUAUAUCUUGCAUUAAGUCUAGGAGUUGAAGUGAAACCCUAGAUGCAUGAAUCCUAGGAAUCCAAUGUAAUGCUUCCGAGUCCUUAUCGGAUAGUUGCUCCGCUAAUAGGACCGGUAGAAGUCGAGUGAUUUCCUGUCACUCGCGCGACAUAGGAGUUGCAUGUUUACAUUUCUGCAACCACUAUAAGGAUGACGGACAGGGUCAUGUGCUGUAUCAUGACCUGAAAGUUACCCUGUCUGUUUCGUUAAAAGUUGAUAAGGUCGAUCUAUGUGGUAGUGGUGGCUAAGUUUUUGAAAGUACUGGCCACAUGCCGCGAAAUAUGGUAAGCGGCAAGCCUAGUAACCAAUCGGCCCGGCAAGUGGACAUACCUCCCACCACUCGAUUUUAUGUUAUGUUUACACGCACCGAUGUGCGGGAGUACGUUCUGCAAGGCAGACAGGAAUACGGGUUUUGUAGUCGCGCUACAGACGUAUGUCCUGUACACAUUGGGUGUGCGUACGGUCCUGCAGUCGCUUGUGGUGGACCUGAUCCACGACCCGGAAUGAAAGGCAAACGGUUGCUUCGGAAUGCCCUGUUGGUAUUCCAAGCGUGUGUGUUAGGUUUACCUUGCAAGGUUAAAUUCGAUUCGGAUCGUCCGCCUCUCACGAGGAUUGAGACUGCUUAUCCCUUCUGCCACAUUGAGUAAGAAGUGGAACUAAUGAUAGAUAAUCUUGUUGAAUGAUAAUCACUACCUUGCUUGCUUAGUGUAGGUGCUAAUCUAGAAUAAAUACUCAACUAGAAAAUGAAAGCUAAAACUUGAAAAUAGUUCAUACUCUUUGUUACUUUUCAGCUGAAAAUAAACCCAGAGCCUUUGCAAUGCCUUCACGAGUCUAGUUACGGGCUAACGUAUACCCAACCCCGGGUAAGCCUUGCUGAGUAUUAGUAUACUCAGCCUUGCUAGUUUUAUACUUUUCAGGUAAAGCCUUUGAAGACCCAACUCUUUCCCUGUCAUGGCCCUGUGCUCUUCCAGAAGGUUGGUCCGUGGAAUGGGAUCCGUCCCCGACCAACAUUGGUGAUACCGAGUGAUGUCGUGCCUGGGCUUAGCAUGACAUCCAUCUUGUCGACGUGCUGUAGAUCAUUGCGUAUGUUUUCCGCUGCUAAAGAUCAUAGCUUAAACGGUUUGUAUUAUGUUCUCUAGGUUUGAAACUUUGUUCUACUUUUAUAAACUCUUGUAAUGUAAUUCCCUUCGAUGUAAAAUAUGAUGGUGACUGUAUCUCUGGACUCACCUUCGUGUGAGGUAACCUUAUUGAUCCUGUGUAUCGGUGGUUUAUCGGGACGUUACCCGACAGGCCAAGGGAUUAUACCGUUUGAAGGACGUUGGAGCCCUCGGAAGUGGACUCGCGUACUUGAGCCGGUAUAAUUCAGGUUGGUUCUGCCACAGCUGGUAUCAGAGCUAUAAGGUUACUCUGGAGAUAUAUUUUACCUUAAAAAUACUUUCGGUAUAAAAGUUUGACCAACCAAAGGUUUCCCAAAACUACGUUGGAUUCGUUAAGGAUUAUGUAUAGUACGUAAAGCCCUAGGGUAAUGCUUAUGAUGGAAAUAGAGGUGGCUAUACAUAUAUAUAUAACCCUAACUACCAGCAUUACUUUUCCGUCAAAACUUAAAUUUAUGCACAACCCAACCUUACUUUCUGUAACGACAUCUUCGAUGAUGAGGUAAGGAGGUAAGGAUCCUCAGCCAACUGAGGGAGCUUGGCCUUCCCGUCGGUGAUGCGAACCGAACGCUGUUUCUCAAGCAGUGGCCUACUUGAGAUGCUGCCAAUGUACCAAUUUCGAUUGACUACAUUGGGAGUAUAUGGUUCGGCGCAGGGUAUGGCGAUCGCAGAUCAUACCCCCGCAUUUUGCGGUACCCCCGUGAAUACGUUAUCUCGAUAACGUAUGUUAACGUUGUCUGUACAGCGGUAAUUGUACAGAUGCUGUUUCUAUAGUGAACAGUAAUGUUUGGGAACGCUUUCAUGACAUGCUGGCAUGAAAGGUUCAGUAUAUACAUAUUGUGAUUUUCUGCAGGUAUGCUAACCUCGUUACGUAAGCUUGAACGUAAGAACGACUAGUAUAUAUAUAGGGAGAGACGUAUUUAUAUGAUGCCACCGUAACUAACCACGUAAGACCAAGAUUACUUGGCAGUUAUUUUUGUUUGUGAGGACGGGUAGAACGUGCAUACAUCAUGAUAUCUUGGAUUGACCUGAUUGCUUUGUUUGAUACGUUGAUGUACUGAAAUAUGUUGCUUGUAUUUGAAUGCCUGUUUUGACUUUGUGUUGUAGGAGUUAAUGUAAUCUGCUAGGCUAUCUUAGAGUUAAGAAAGUCUUUUAGGAAUCAAGUGGAUUGGGUUAUCUUUGAACCCUAUCACCAAUCUUGGCUGGACAGCCAAAUUAAAUCCUUGAUUUUGCUUUAAAUCUGUUUCGACAAAAUCAUUAAACUUCUCCUUAGAUGGUUAAACCUUGAUGAUUAUCAUCAAACUCUUCAAUCCAUCAUCUAGUGAUUUAUCUAUCCUCUCUUGGUGUUGUACCGUAUAUCGUUGACUAAUCUGGUUACAACAUCUGAAAGCUGUACCUUCAAUUUUUGCUCAGAUGAUUUUGGAUAAAUUAAAAAGAUGUAUGACAAUAAUUCCAUUUUGCAUACAAUUCUCCCGGCAAAAAGUCAUGCAUCAUAACAUAUACCAUUUUGGUCAAUGCAUGGUGUUGCAUCAUCAUCGAAAGCCCGUAGACUAACUAACGAGUGUGCCUCCUGUACAGCUUUAGGUUGUCUUCGGCUUCUUAAGACCUAUCUUGCUGCUGUUGGCACUAUAAGGUUGUUAUUCCUCUUUUGUGGUGGUGUUUAAUCACAUAACCAUGAUGCCGUGUCGGAACCUAAGGCCUCAUGUGCGCUGCAGUCACAUGAUUGAGCCAUUAGGAGCGCACUGGUGACUAGGUACAUGUGACGUAACCCCACUGCAAACUCUUCUUAUGCAACCUUAUUAGUGUCCUAACUUUUGAUCCUCGUUUAAGGAUAUAGAGCCACCCAGGUGUUAGUUACAAGAGAACGGUUGUAGGAUGCGAGUCACGAGCAUCAUUAACUCAUGAGGGUAAGCAUCAUAUUUCAUGCAUUUCAUAUGUGCAUACAUUGCAAAUGUCAUCAUCCUUGCAUCAUGGUGUAUGCAUCAUUUGGUCAGCAUCAUGGCAAUUGCAUUGUGUCAUAUGCAUCAUCUCGGUCGUGCAUGGGAUCCCUCAUCCUCGUGUUGCAUCAUCAUUGCAAUCAUACAUCUCAACAGUGCAUCAUAUUCAUAAUUAUAUAUUGAGCAUUGCACUCGGAGUAGAGCAUUUUAUUAUUAUCCCUUGAUUGCAUCGGUCUAAAUAGGCAUAUUUUGCAAUAACAUCAUCUAAAAUUAUUCAGGUAACAAACUCUGAGCAAGAAUAUUUCAAACAUCACUUUGUCAAUCCCUUGUACUAUCCUUACUUGUUAUCCAUGAGUUUUGCGAUGAAUGUCAUCGACAUUUAUCGUCCUUAUGUAUAAUCUCUUAUCUUGUUAAACUCAUCUAUGCACCAUCUCUUCAUGCUCUCGUUAUACUCAUCUCGUCAUGCUCUCGUCAUCAAUCUCAAACUUCUCUGGUGUGAUUGCUUCUUUCCACUUUUGAUGUGUGAUUUGCUUCUCUUCCCUUUAGAAUCUUACGUCCGAAUCUCGGGACGAGAUUCUUUUUAGGGGGGAGGGUUGUGACAGUUCGUGUGUUUGUAAUGCUAGGCAUGUAUUUUGAUAGUGUGAAAUAUGUGUUUGUUUGUAUAAAGCUUAUGUGUGUUUAUGUGAAGCUUUUGAAAAUUUAAAGUGUAAAUAAAAAGGGUAUUUUUGUAAUUACAGAAAAACCUAGGGUUGUUUUUGCAAAAUGUAUUUGGAGAAGGAUAAUUUCAAAAUAAGUGAAAGGUGGUUUUGGUAAAUAUGUUUUUCUUACUUUAUGUUUUGUAAAAAUAUAUAUAUUUACUCAAAAGUUGCAUUGGAAAUGCGCGUGUUGAAAUAUGUAAAAAUUUUGGGUAAAGUGGUAAAAAUAAGGGUAUUUAUGUGAUUUUAUAAAAUUACAAUUCCUUUUAUGCAAAUGUUCGAUUUACAAAAGUAACUUUCAAAUUUACUUAGGACUAAAGUGUAAAAGUGCAAGUCAUCAUGACAUGUCUAUCCAAUCAUUAUGACGAUUCUAUCCCGUCAUUAUGACAUGUCAUAAAUGCUUGCAUUUAAGUCCUGAAUUUUAUAAAAUUACACUUUAAGGACAAAAGCAACUCAAAUCCAACUUUUAUUCAAAACUUCACGCGUAAAAAUAUAAAUUUUGAGUUUUUGAACUUGAGCCCUAAAGCAAUGUUGUAGAGUUUGAAAAACUCUCCAACUUUCGUUUUGGGCAUUUCGUCAUUAGAGUUUUAGAUUAACGGAAAAUUUUGUUUUACAGACAGACCCUUGUAGUUUUCUGUAUUUACGCAUAGGUCCUUGGGGAAAUCUGUUUACCCUUCUCCUCUGUUUCUUAUCCUGACACCUCCUUUCUUUUUGUUUCCCACCGGCGGUAGCUCUGCCAAAUUUCCUUUUCCCCUCCCCUCCCUCUCCUCAGCAAGCAGGCAGCGGCACCAAAACAUUUCUUUUCUUCCUCUUCCUCUCUCUAUUCUUCUUCCUGUUAGCUUCCUCUUCCACUCACAGGCAUUGGGGAUCCGGCAGCCAGGGGCCCGAGCGGCUCGGGCAUGGGAGCUGGAAGCGCGGGUGGAGGCGCGCUGGGGCAGAGGCCGCAGCGGGCGGCUCGGCUCGCGGGGCAGGCGGUGGCGCGGCCCAGGCGCGGGCGAGCGGCGGCCGUGGGCGGCGCGGGCCGCGGUAGGCGCGGGGGCCCAGCAGCGGCUCAGGCGCGCGGCUGGAGGCGAGACUCAGGCGGAGCGCGCGCAGGGCGCAGGGGGGAGCGAGCGGCGCGGCGCGGCUGCGCGGCGGCUCGGUAGUGCGGGCCGCGGGAACCGGUGGCGCGCGGAUGAGCGCGCGCGCGAGCUGCGGCAGGGCGCAGGCGCACGGCUGGAGGCGGGCUGGCGGCGGCUCCUGGCGCAGGUCGGGCGGCAGCUCGGUGCUAGCGUGGGGACCGGAGACGCGCGGGCUGGCGGGUCCCAGGCAGGCGGACGCGCGCAGCUGCGGGCGUCAGCGCGGCAGAGCAGGAGCGGCCCGAGCGAGCGGCGUGAACUGAGCCGGUGAGCGCAGACUCAGGGAGCCGGUGAGGAUACGGCAGUGGCGCGAACGAGCGCGCGCAGGUGGAGUGGAGGCCGAGCAGGACGACGACGUGCAGGCGUGCGUGUGCGGAUGCGAGACCGGCGGCACGUUGUGGAACGGUCUGCGCGAGCUUGAGCGCGGAGUUCGCGAUACGGGAACGCGCAGGCACACGUAUGUGGGAGUGUCAGCGAGGCUGUCGGCGAUAGUGCAGGAGUGAUGAUGGCGGCUGUUAUUCAGGGACGCGAACCCAAUCAUCAGACCGGCGCCGACGCUAGCAAACACGGGGAGGAGGCGGUCGCCAGUUUGGGGGCACCGCCAUCAAUGGAGCACGCCCGACGAAGACCGACGAAUUGAAAGGAAGGAUGCGAGCUCGCUCGCUCAUGAGAUGCACGAGGAGCGGCGAGCCGAAAGGAAAGGCGGCAACGCGGAGGUGGCGACCGGAUGCAAUGAGCUCGGAGGAGCCACGCACGGCGAGUUCCCUUCAUCCGUGCGGAAGUCGAGGCAAAGAGGGUGAGUGUGGCGCGGCGAGGCGAAAGCGAAGGUCCGGACGGAUUUGGACUAGCACGUCCACGGAUACGAGCGAGAGUGCUCUACCGGUGACCGGCUCGACUCGAUUCAGCAAGCGCGUGCGUGUACAAGACAACAGGCCAUCUUCCACCCACGGCAACCAUCCCCG
This 8404-nucleotide long non-coding RNA is filed under the name Panicum hallii. RNAcentral describes it as "long non-coding RNA (PHAL_LNC000893)". Lineage: Eukaryota; Viridiplantae; Streptophyta; Magnoliopsida; Poales; Poaceae. The record is from RNAcentral.